This 519-nucleotide ribosomal RNA is filed under the name uncultured bacterium. RNAcentral's name for it is "bacterial SSU rRNA". It matches the Rfam family "Bacterial small subunit ribosomal RNA", at positions 501 to 1016 of the family's 1533-position model. The record is from RNAcentral.
CUACGUGCCAGCAGCCGCGGUAAUACGUAGGGCGCGAGCGUUGUCCGGAAUUAUUGGGCGUAAAGAGCUUGUAGGCGGUUUGUCGCGUCUGCUGUGAAAGGCCGGGGCUUAACCCCGUGUAUUGCAGUGGGUACGGGCAGACUAGAGUGCAGUAGGGGAGACUGGAAUUCCUGGUGUAGCGGUGGAAUGCGCAGAUAUCAGGAGGAACACCGAUGGCGAAGGCAGGUCUCUGGGCUGUAACUGACGCUGAGAAGCGAAAGCAUGGGGAGCGAACAGGAUUAGAUACCCUGGUAGUCCACGCCGUAAACGAUGAGUGCUAGGUGUUGGGUCCUUUCCGGGACUCAGUGCCGCAGCUAACGCAUUAAGCACUCCGCCUGGGGAGUACGACCGCAAGGUUGAAACUCAAAGGAAUUGACGGGGGCCCGCACAAGCGGUGGAGCAUGUGGUUUAAUUCGAAGCAACGCGAAGAACCUUACCAGGUCUUGACAUCCCUCUGACCGCUCUAGAGAUAGAGUUUUC